This is a long non-coding RNA of Eupeodes corollae, 952 nucleotides long. RefSeq lists it as uncharacterized. The transcript is spliced from 2 exons. The record is from RefSeq and is a predicted model, not a curated record. NCBI's taxonomy places the organism in Eukaryota, Metazoa, Arthropoda, Insecta, Diptera, Syrphidae.
UUGCACGCAUUUGGAAGCCAAACAAAUUCUCUCUAUCUCUCUCUUUUCAUCCACAAGCCGCAAGGAUUUACUUGGCGAUGAUAGAUUCUAAAGAUUCACACAGGAUAUGACGAGAACACUGAUGUCUAUAUGAUGAUUGAAAAGUUUCCUAGGGCUUUCUUUCUACAACAACGACGACGACAAACUUUAGGCGAAGGGAUGGGAUCUGAAGAGCUCCGUUUACUGCGGACAACAAAUCCGUUUAGAAGAUUUUGCCAAAGGCUUAUCAAUGGCCUCUUGGGAAAUUCCCAUCACAUCAUCAAUUUUCUACCUUUUUGAAGCAAGAGAAUAAAAAAAGAAAGAGCAAGAGCAUCAAAGCGUCAACAACGCGCGAGACAUAUUAGCAAUUUUAAGUCUAACCGUUUUUGUUACUUCAAUAAAGUAAGAAUACAAAAACAACCCCAUCGAUUUGUUGCUUUGUGCGCUACGCUCUAAUGUGCUACUGGUGGUGGGUGAUGUUGAUGUUGAUGAGGGCAAAUGUGCCCAUCCGGUCUGCGAAGAGGAAGUUCCUACAUCAGUCAAUUCGCUAAGGCUAAUAUUGUUAGUAAAAUAAUAGCUUCCUUUUGUGCAUAACAGUUUACCAUCCUAUGAAUGGAAAUUCAGAAGUCCGGGUGGGUUUCAUGGGGUGAACAUUUUAUUCAGCAACAACGUAAAACAAUAAUUAUUAUAAUAACGACACAUUCGAGAGAUGAGCAACAAAAGAUAAAGGCUUUUAUGUCAUUGUUAGUGCACCAGGGCGAUGCUAUCAUGUGGUUGAGGAACAUACGUUUUUGAGCCACAAACAUUUGUUUUUUAAGAUAACAGAUCUAUGCAUGAAAAAAUAUAUGUAUUUGUAUAUGUUUGUUUUUAUUUCUAUGGACAUUUUGUAAACAUUUUUAACAAGCAACAAAGGAAAAUCUAUUUUUAAAAAUAA